GUCACAUCACAUUGAAACACUGCUUCGCUUAUGAUAACCGAAGUUAAGCAACGUCGAUCCUGGUCAGUUCUUAGAUGGGUGGUCGCUUGGGAAUACCAGGUGCUGUAA
Acanthosepion pharaonis is the source of this 108-nucleotide non-coding RNA. The record is from the annotation of a GenBank genome assembly. Lineage: Eukaryota; Metazoa; Mollusca; Cephalopoda; Sepiida; Sepiidae.